RNAcentral lists this ribosomal RNA (368 nucleotides) under uncultured bacterium. RNAcentral describes it as "bacterial SSU rRNA". It matches the Rfam family "Bacterial small subunit ribosomal RNA", at positions 152 to 507 of the family's 1533-position model. The record is from RNAcentral.
GGAAACAGAUGCUAAUACCGCAACUAAAACCCAACACCGCAUGGUGUAGGUUGAAAGAUGGUUUCGGCUAUCACUUUAGGAUGGACCCGCGGUGCAUUAGUUAGUUGGUGAGGUAAAGGCUCACCAAGACCGUGAUGCAUAGCCGACCUGAGAGGUAAUCGGCCACACUGGGACUGAGACACGGCCCAGACUCCUACGGAGGCAGCAGUAGGGAAUCUUCCACAAUGGACGAAAGUCUGAUGGAGCAACGCCGCGUGAGUGAAGAAGGUUUUCGGAUCGUAAAACUCUGUUGUUGGAGAAGAAUGUAUCUGAUAGUAACUGAUCAGGUAGUGACGGUAUCCAACCAGAAAGCCACGGCUAACUACGUG